GAUUUAAGACAUAUAAAUUAUGAUUCUUUUUGUUGAUUCUGUAGGAGUUUCGUGGUUUCUUGAAGGACUUGCAGGAUUGGGACAACAAACCAAAGGGUCGAGCUCAGAAGGCUGCAAAAUCAAUGACAGGAACUGUUGAUGAAGAUAAGGCGGAUUUUUCAAAAUUUCCUGCGUCUGAAGUAAAAAAGAUUAAUGAAAAGAUAGUUUCUUCAAGAGAAAACAGUGAGCGUUUUGGUUAUCUUAGAAAUUCGGGUGCAUUUGAUCUAUCGAGUAGCUUCUUAAAUAAGGAGAAAUUGCCAGAUGCUACUUCAGAGAAGGAAUUGGGCAAUGAAUAUUUUAAGCAAAAGAAGUUCCAUGAAGCCAUUGAGUGCUACUCAAGAAGCAUUGCAUUCUCUCCUACGUCAGUUGCUUUUGCCAAUAGAGCUAUGGCAUAUCUUAAAGUGAAGAAAUUUGUGGAAGCAGAGAACGACUGUACAGAUGCUCUAAGUUUAGAUGAUCGCUAUGUUAAAGCAUAUUCACGUCGACUUACAGCUAGAAAAGAACUAGGAAAGCUUGAAGAAGCUAUGGAAGAUGCUGACUUUGCUGUGAGACUUGAGCCAAAUAAUCCAGAAAUCAGGAAGCAGUUUGGUGAAAUAAAGGCAAUGUUGGAAAGGAAAUUAAUCCAGAAUGUUUCUGCUGAAAAAAAUUCAAGUGCAGCGUCAAAAGUGUCUAAAGCUAAGGGUGUCUACCCUGUCACUGGUAAAACCCAAAAUGCGGAAGCUUCUGUUGCUCAGAUAAUGGACUGUGAGGUGAAUUCUAGCAACCGAAUGAUUUCUCUUGAGAAUAUCGAUAGAAGUAAAAGUUUCAUCACUGAAAGCAAGAAUGAUUCACGUUCCGUUAAUGAACCCGGAGAAAGCGUAGCAUCAAAAUUGAAUGCCAACAUUGCUAAGGAACCUAAUGGUGGCAACGACAAGCAUGCAUUGAGGACAUCAGUGCAGGAUCUUGCAUCUCGGGCUGCUUCCCGUGUUAUGGCAACUGCUCCAAAGAUUAUCGGUACUCCAACAUCUGCUUACCAGUUUGAGGUUUUGUGGCGGUCACUUUCUAAUGCCUCAGCAAAGCAGGCCCAGUUGUUGAAGACAAUUCCGCCAUCUGAUUUACCCAAAAUUUUUAAAAAUGCACUAUCUGCUCCUCUACUGAUUGAGAUAAUUAAAUGCAUAGCUACAUUCUUCAGGGAUGACACUGUUUUUGCCGUGAGUAUGAUGGAUAAUUUAACCUAUGUUCCUCGGUUUGACAUGAUAAUUAUGUGCCUUUCUGCAAUGGAUCGAGCUGAACUUCUCAGAUUAUGGGAUGAAGUGUUCUUAUGUGGCCAGAUUCAGGAGGAUCUAAGGAUGGUACUUGUUAGGUUGAGGCCCAAGUACUGCUACGGAGAAUGGGAAUCUCAUAUUCUGAGUUCUUAGGAGAUGGCCAAGAGAUGCACGCUCUUAUGCAAAUGCUUAAAGACCAGUGAAAUUAUGUUUAUUUUAUUUUCUCAUGGGAUUCAAUUUAAGAGGCAGACUGAGCCUACCAGUAACUCAGAACAAAGAACGCAAUUGGAAUUGCUAGUUCAGGGUGGUUAGCUGUGUUCGAUAGUAAUACUAUUAAGGAAUUCCUCGUGGAAAAUCUUAAUAAGUACUUUUUUAUCACUCUUUAUUUCACUUUGAGAUUUGUGUAGAUAUUUCUUGUUAAUCUAAACAUGAAAUGCCGGAAUGAGUUGACCAUUAGGCUAGUUUUGGAUAUCUUGACCUGUGUUGUGUUUAGUCGAUUGUGUUGCAGUAACCAUGGAUGAAGCCAGUCCAAACAAAUCUUCAGUAUUUAUGAAAGUUCAGAAAAAUCUUAUAAUUCUGAGAUGAUUCUACCAAAAGUUCUGAUUGUAAAUGAUAAAACUAUAAGUAUAACGUUCUGAAUAUUAA
RNA transcript from Dendrobium catenatum, 1928 nucleotides. It is a transcript of the gene named RNA polymerase II-associated protein 3, with no coding region annotated. The record is from RefSeq and is a predicted model, not a curated record. The transcript has 12 exons. NCBI's taxonomy places the organism in Eukaryota, Viridiplantae, Streptophyta, Magnoliopsida, Asparagales, Orchidaceae.